RNAcentral lists this ribosomal RNA (580 nucleotides) under uncultured bacterium. RNAcentral's name for it is "bacterial SSU rRNA". It matches the Rfam family "Bacterial small subunit ribosomal RNA", at positions 338 to 916 of the family's 1533-position model. The record is from RNAcentral.
CCUACGGGAGGCAGCAGUAAGGAAUAUUGGACAAUGCCCGCAAGGGUGAUCCAGCCAUGCCGCGUGCAGGAAGAAGGCCCUAUGGGUCGUAAACUGCUUUUACACCGGAGAAAACCUCCCUUCGUGAAGGGAGCUGAUAGUAUGGUGAGAAUAAGCAUCGGCUAACUUCGUGCCAGCAGCCGCGGUAAGACGAAGGAUGCAAGCGUUAUCCGGAUUCAUUGGGUUUAAAGGGAGCGUAGGUGGACUGAUAAGUCAGUGGUGAAAUCUUCGAGCUUAACUCGGAAAAUUGCCAUUGAUACUGUUAGUCUUGAGUACAGUUGCUGUGGGCGGAAUAUGACAUGUAGUGGUGAAAUACAUAGAGAUGUCAUAGAACACCGAUUGCGAAGGCAGCUCACAAAGCUGUAACUGACACUGAGGCUCGAAAGUGCGGGGAUCAAACAGGAUUAGAUACCCUGGUAUCCGCACUGUAAACGAUGAUUACUCGCUGCUAGAGGGCAACUUUUAGUGGCUUAGCGAAAAGCGAUAAGUAAUCCACCUGGGGAGUACGCCGGNAACGGUGAAAACUCAAAUGAAUUGACGG